This is a non-coding RNA of Phascolarctobacterium sp. CAG:207, 107 nucleotides long. The record is from Rfam. NCBI's taxonomy places the organism in Bacteria, Bacillati, Bacillota, Negativicutes, Acidaminococcales, Acidaminococcaceae.
GUAACAAAGCAGAAGCCGCUCGCUUCUCACCUUGCAGCAAAAGCUCGACAGGGUCGGAUAUGAUUUUCAGCGCGGGCAGUAUUAUCUGCUCGCGUUUUUUAUUUAAU